ACGUACACUCCUGCGGGAGGCAGCAGUGGGGAAUAUUGGACAAUGGGCGCAAGCCUGAUCCAGCCAUGCCGCGUGAGUGAUGAAGGCCCUAGGGUUGUAAAGCUCUUUUGUGCGGGAAGAUAAUGACGGUACCGCAAGAAUAAGCCCCGGCUAACUUCGUGCCAGCAGCCGCGGUAAUACGAAGGGGGCUAGCGUUGCUCGGAAUCACUGGGCGUAAAGGGUGCGUAGGCGGGUCUUUAAGUCAGGGGUGAAAUCCUGGAGCUCAACUCCAGAACUGCCUUUGAUACUGAAGAUCUUGAGUUCGGGAGAGGUGAGUGGAACUGCGAGUGUAGAGGUGAAAUUCGUAGAUAUUCGCAAGAACACCAGUGGCGAAGGCGGCUCACUGGCCCGAUACUGACGCUGAGGCACGAAAGCGUGGGGAGCAAACAGGAUUAGAAACCCCAGUAGUCCCAUG
RNAcentral lists this ribosomal RNA (454 nucleotides) under uncultured organism. RNAcentral's name for it is "partial 16S ribosomal RNA". It matches the Rfam family "Bacterial small subunit ribosomal RNA", at positions 329 to 799 of the family's 1533-position model. The record is from RNAcentral.